GAACUGCUUUUCUAUUUGUUAACCUGGCAGGUCUGCAAGUGUUAGGCCUGUAAGAAACCAAAAGGCUCUGUAUGGUUCUCAUUAUAAUGGAGCCCUGUUCAACUAGCCACGAUAACUCUUAGGUAACUAAGUUGCUUUCUUUUAAUCAUUAAUAUUUUUAUAUUGUCAAGAGCAGCCUGGCUCUUACUGAGAUAAACUUGUUCCUUGUGUAGCUUGCAUGUCUCAUCCACCAGCAAAAGGAAGCAACCUUCUCAUUGAGCCCCUUUCUAUCUCCCACAUUCAAGACCUCAAGAGGAGCUCAGUACCAUUUUUUUCAUCUACGUCAGCAACUGUUCCCAUUACCUGGUGAAUGCCUCUGUGGGCCUAGGAGGAGAUGGAUACUGUAUGAGAGGUUGCUGUUUCGGAUGAGCUGGCAUAAGUAGGAAAACAACUUCCUUCAGUGUAUAUUUUUUUAGUACAGAAGGAAUGAUGGAGCACAAAAGCUGUUUCUUGCUGAUCAGUAAAUUAAAUAUACAAAUAAAUCAUCACCUUUAACACCUAUAUAUACCAAGAUGAGCUGUGAGCCUCCAGAUGUUCUUAAAAUCGCUUGCGCCGACCUCAUGAAGCACAGGAAUGAUGAGUGACCACUUCAUAGGAAUGGAAACAGCAAAACCAAACCGAAACAGAAAAAAAGCAGUGAUGGACCUGAUGCCAAAGUGGUACCAUUUCCUCCAGAGUAAAUGGGGAGCAAUCACCUUACCUUCGUCGUCAUUCACCUGCCAUUAAACCAGGCUCUCAUUCAUCGGCGUGAUGAUCGGAGCCGGAGCCUGCGAAUAAUCAGAGUAACACAGUGCAGUAUUUAGCAAAGCAGCAGCUGAAACACAGCCCCUCAUCCCUGUGUGUACCCCAACAGCAGCCUGCAGGAAAGGCUGCUGUUGUUUCUCUCUCACCCUUUCUCCUCUCCUGCUUAUAUAGAAACUGAAGGAGGGGGAGAGUUUUUCUUUAACUAGAAGAGAAACUUGGGAGUCAAGUCAGCAUAAUGGGAGGUUUAGGAUUUGGUCCUGCUGGAGAGGUCAGAUGUUGAGCUGGAUCUCCACGAGAUAGGUGGAUGAGGCUGCUGGAAGGGUAUUCCUUUCAAGGAGGCAGGUGGGGAUCCUGUCUUGGAAAAAGCCAGUGUGAGGACAGGGCUGGCGUAUAAGCCACGGGUGGCAGGGAGAGCUCCAGCAGGGACUUUCCAGCUCCUUUUCUGUAAUGAGAGCAGGUCUAACACAACCAAAAAGAGAUUUUCUUUCAAAGAGGCAGUGGAUAUUAAGAGUUUAAGUGGUGUGAGAAGACCAAAUCCAUGGAAAAUAAGUCUUUUAAGGUUUAGGGAAAAUGCUGUAGUCAAUGAAAAAGCCUGAGCAGGCACAUCCAAGGGAGCACAUGGACACUUGUGCCAGUGUCAGGAGCUGCAACAAAGAGCUGCUGUGCUCCUGCCUUCCUAAGGCUGCUGUCAAAGACAGAGCAACGAACUACAGCACACCCAUGGCCUGAGCACUACAGCAUGGGUGUGGGAUUGGGGUGUUACCUCCUGCCUCUGCCCACUGUGAGCCCUCACCUUGCACUGGGUAAUCCCACAAGCUCGGGUCCCCACAGGCAGUGCCAAGUUGGAAAAUCCCACAGGAUGCACAGAAUGUGAAGCCUCACGGGCUGCUUGGCUGUUUGCAGGCACAACAUCAUACAUUUGCACAUCUCACGUUGCCAAAGAACUGCUCACAGACCUGGAAAACCCUCAGAGAUAGGCAGCGAGUUGAGACUUGACUGCCUGCAUCCUUUCCCACAUGCAACGUUAGGAAGCUCACCAUUGUCACCCAACAUGACAAAGUGGAUGAUGGCUGGCACAUGCCUGACACGCUGGGAUCAUCCCACUUUUAUCAUUAUUGGCAUAAAAAGUUGAACUUUCAAAAAGAUUCAGCAGCGUUUAAAAAGAAUAAAAAGAAGAAGAAAAAAAAAAAGUCUUACCUU
Molecule: long non-coding RNA, 1983 nt
Organism: Phasianus colchicus (ring-necked pheasant)
Lineage: Eukaryota; Metazoa; Chordata; Aves; Galliformes; Phasianidae
Source: Ensembl